UACGCUAUCCAAGCUACAAUC
RNAcentral lists this non-coding RNA (21 nucleotides) under Caenorhabditis elegans. Lineage: Eukaryota; Metazoa; Nematoda; Chromadorea; Rhabditida; Rhabditidae. The record is from RNAcentral.